GACGAACGCUGGAGGCGUGCUUAACACAUGCAAGUCGAACGAUGAAGUGGAGCUUGCUCCAUGGAUUAGUGGCGAACGGGUGAGUAACACGUGAAUAACCUGCCCUUAAUUUUGGAAUAACCCAGGGAAACCUGGGCUAAUACCGGAUAAGUAAACCUGUGGCAUCACAUGGUUUUGGAAAGUUUUUCGAUUAAGGAUGGAUUCGCGGCCUAUCAGCUUGUUGGUGAGGUAAUGGCUCACCAAGGCGACGACGGGUAGCCGGCCUGAGAGGGUGAACGGCCACACUGGGACUGAGACGCGGCCCAGACUCCUACGGGAGGCAGCAGUGGGGAAUAUUGCGCAAUGGACGAAAGUCUGACGCAGCGACGCCUCGUGAGGGACGAAGGUCUCCGGAUUGUAAACCUCUUUCAGCAGGGACGAAGCGAAAGUGACGGUACCUGCAGAAGAAGCACCGGCUAACUAUGUGCCAGCCGCCGCGGUAA
RNAcentral lists this ribosomal RNA (482 nucleotides) under uncultured bacterium. Its description in RNAcentral is "partial 16S ribosomal RNA". It matches the Rfam family "Bacterial small subunit ribosomal RNA", at positions 28 to 523 of the family's 1533-position model. The record is from RNAcentral.